Molecule: ribosomal RNA, 228 nt
Filed under: uncultured bacterium
Lineage: Bacteria
Description: partial 16S ribosomal RNA
Rfam family: Bacterial small subunit ribosomal RNA
Source: RNAcentral
CACGUAGGUGGUUUUGUAAGUCGAAUGUGAAAUCUCACGGCUCAACCGUGAAACUGCGUUCGAAACUACAAGACUUGAGUUCGGGAGAGGUGUACGGAAUUCCUGGUGUAGCGGUGGAAUGCGUAGAUAUCAGGAAGAACACCAAUGGCGAAGGCAGUACACUGGCCUGGAACUGACACUGAGGUGCGAAAGCGUGGGGAGCAAACAGGAUUAGAUCCCUGGUAGUCC